RNAcentral lists this ribosomal RNA (320 nucleotides) under Candidatus Phytoplasma mali. Its description in RNAcentral is "bacterial SSU rRNA". It matches the Rfam family "Bacterial small subunit ribosomal RNA", at positions 994 to 1327 of the family's 1533-position model. The record is from RNAcentral. Lineage: Bacteria; Bacillati; Mycoplasmatota; Mollicutes; Acholeplasmatales; Acholeplasmataceae.
AAAGACUAUAAACCUCUAGGGGUGGUCCACCAGGGAUGCGGGUGGUGCAUGGUGGGCGUCAUCUCUUGUCGUGAGAGGUUGGUUUUGUCCAGCGACGAGCGCACCUCGCUAGUUACCAUCAUUUAGUUGGGCACUUUAGUGAGACUGCCAAUGAUAAAUUGGAGGAAGGUGGAUUACGUCAAAUCAUCUGCCCCUUAUGACCUGGGCUACAAACGUGAUACAAUGGCUGUUACAAAGAGUAGCUGAAGCGUGAGUUUUUAGCAAAUCUCAAAAAAACAGUCUCAGUUCGGAUUAGUCUGCAACUCGACUCAUGAUCGGAA